GGUAUUAUAUUUUAACAAAAGAAAAUUUAAUUUGCAAUUAAAAAGAAAGAUAUAAUUUAAUCUUU
This 65-nucleotide transfer RNA is filed under the name Grimpoteuthis sp. RNAcentral describes it as "tRNA-Ala". Lineage: Eukaryota; Metazoa; Mollusca; Cephalopoda; Octopoda; Grimpoteuthidae. The record is from RNAcentral.